RNAcentral lists this ribosomal RNA (498 nucleotides) under uncultured bacterium. Its description in RNAcentral is "partial 16S ribosomal RNA". It matches the Rfam family "Bacterial small subunit ribosomal RNA", at positions 30 to 523 of the family's 1533-position model. The record is from RNAcentral.
AUUGAACGCUGGCGGCAUGCUUUACACAUGCAAGUCGAACGGUAACAGGCCGCAAGGUGCUGACGAGUGGCGAACGGGUGAGUAAUGCAUCGGAACUUGCCCAGUCGUGGGGGAUAACGCAGCGAAAGCUGUGCUAAUACCGCAUACGAUCUAUGGAUGAAAGCGGGGGACCGUAAGGCCUCGCGCGAUUGGAGCGGCCGAUGUCAGAUUAGGGAGUUGGUGGGGUAAAGGCCUACCAAGCCGACGAUCUGUAGCUGGUCUGAGAGGACGACCAGCCACACUGGGACUGAGACACGGCCCAGACUCCUACGGGAGGCAGCAGUGGGGAAUUUUGGACAAUGGGCGCAAGCCUGAUCCAGCAAUGCCGCGUGCAGGAAGAAGGCCUUCGGGUUGUAAACUGCUUUUGUACGGAACGAAACGGCCUGGGUUAAUACCCUGGGCUAAUGACGGUACCGUAAGAAUAAGCACCGGCUAACUACGUGCCAGCCGCCGCGGUAA